Molecule: ribosomal RNA, 425 nt
Filed under: uncultured bacterium
Lineage: Bacteria
Description: bacterial SSU rRNA
Rfam family: Bacterial small subunit ribosomal RNA
Source: RNAcentral
GUGGGGAAUAUUGGACAAUGGGCGCAAGCCUGAUCCAGCAAUGCCGCGUGGGUGAAGAAGGUCUUCGGAUCGUAAAGCCCUUUCGACAGGGACGAUGAUGACGGUACCUGUAGAAGAAGCCCCGGCUAACUUCGUGCCAGCAGCCGCGGUAAUACGAAGGGGGCUAGCGUUACUCGGAAUUACUGGGCGUAAAGGGCGCGUAGGCGGCUCUGUUAGUCAGGCGUGAAAUUCCUGGGCUUAACCUGGGGACUGCGCUUGAUACUGCAGGGCUUGAGGCCGAGAGAGGGUGGUGGAAUUCCCAGUGUAGAGGUGAAAUUCGUAGAUAUUGGGAAGAACACCGGUGGCGAAGGCGACCACCUGGCUCGGUUCUGACGCUGAGGCGCGACAGCGUGGGGAGCAAACAGGAUUAGAAACCCGGGUAGUCC